GGGGUCACGGCUCGGUGGUAGAGCAUCUGCCUUGUGAGCAGAACGUCCCAAGUUCAAUCCCCGACAUCUCCA
Podarcis lilfordi (Lilford's wall lizard) is the source of this 72-nucleotide non-coding RNA. The record is from the annotation of a GenBank genome assembly. Lineage: Eukaryota; Metazoa; Chordata; Lepidosauria; Squamata; Lacertidae.